GUUUCCGUAGUCUAGUGGUUAUUACGUUUGCCUAACACGCGAAAGGGCCCUGGUUCGAAACUGGGUGGAAACA
Molecule: non-coding RNA, 73 nt
Organism: Micropterus dolomieu (smallmouth bass)
Lineage: Eukaryota; Metazoa; Chordata; Actinopteri; Centrarchiformes; Centrarchidae
Source: the annotation of a RefSeq genome assembly